GAUGAACGCUGGCGGCGUGCCUAAUACAUGCAAGUCGAGCGAACAGACGAGGAGCUUGCUCCUCUGACGUUAGCGGCGGACGGGUGAGUAACACGUGGAUAACCUACCUAUAAGACUGGGAUAACUUCGGGAAACCGGAGCUAAUACCGGAUAAUAUAUUGAACCGCAUGGGUCAAUAGUGAAAGACGGUUUUGCUGUCACUUAUAGAUGGAUCCGCGCCGCAUUAGCUAGUUGGUAAGGUAACGGCUUACCAAGGCAACUAUGCGUAGCCGACCUGAGAGGCUGAUAGCCCACACUGGAGCUGAGACACGGUCCAGACUCCUACGGGAGGCAGCAGUAGGGAAUCUUCCGCAGUGGUCGAGAGCCUGACGGAGCAACGCCACGUGAGUGAUGAAGGUCUUCGGAUCGUAAAACUCUGUUAUUAGGGAAGAACAAAUGUGUAAGUAACUGUGCACGUCUUGACGGUACCUAAUCAGAAAGCAACGGCUAACUACGUG
RNAcentral lists this ribosomal RNA (497 nucleotides) under uncultured bacterium. Its description in RNAcentral is "partial 16S ribosomal RNA". It matches the Rfam family "Bacterial small subunit ribosomal RNA", at positions 28 to 507 of the family's 1533-position model. The record is from RNAcentral.